CUGCCGCCGCUUCUGCUGCUGUUACUGGUUUCAGGAAGCGGAAGCAGGAAUGCUGGCUUUUUUUUUUUUUUUUUUUUUGGUAGAAAAGUUUGGACAACUUUAAGACUUUGGGCUCACAGACGCGAACUUUGGAGGGGAAACAUGACGGUGUGGUCCCAGUUGCUGAUAAAUCCAUAGAGUUGUCAGUCCUCUGACUGACAGACCAGAACUUCACAUGGACAUGAAAAGUAGAGUUGUGGGAAUGGAGAACACUAUCACUCCUCAAGAGCCUGCAGUGAAACCCCCCAUCAUGGCCCAUGAAAGACGGCUGGCCUGGGCUCAGAGCAAAGACUCCACUGGACAACGAUCAAAGUUGGAGAAACCUGACCGGCAGAAAGCUCCUCACAUCCAGAAGAACGGGCAUACGGAGACGUCAUCUGAACAACCAGGACAAGUUCCCAGCAAGAUUGCCACCUGGCUGAGCGAAUGUACCCCCAAUGGAGCGUCUCUGGAUGAUCAGAGUGCCUCUCCGAACAGAGGUAAACCAUUUUUUUCUAUUAAUGCUGUUUAUAAUGAUGACACAAGUUGCAGUAGAAACGCAUAUAAAAUUGCAUUUUAUAUAUAUGUAUCCUAAAGCUUUUCA
RNAcentral lists this long non-coding RNA (622 nucleotides) under Oryzias javanicus (javanese ricefish). RNAcentral's name for it is "lncRNA (ENSOJAG00000017739.1)". Lineage: Eukaryota; Metazoa; Chordata; Actinopteri; Beloniformes; Adrianichthyidae. The record is from RNAcentral.